This 296-nucleotide unclassified non-coding RNA is filed under the name Psathyrella sp. RNAcentral's name for it is "partial contains 5.8S ribosomal RNA, internal transcribed spacer 2, and large subunit ribosomal RNA". Lineage: Eukaryota; Fungi; Basidiomycota; Agaricomycetes; Agaricales; Psathyrellaceae. The record is from RNAcentral.
CGCACCUUGCGCUCCUUGGUAUUCCGAGGAGCAUGCCUGUUUGAGUGUCAUUAAAUCUUCAACUUCAUCAGUUUUUCAUAAAGCUGUAGUGAAGCUUGGUUGUGGGGGUUUGUGCAGACAGCUUCACAGUAUGCUGCUCCCCUUAAAUAAAUUAGCGAGUUUAAACUAGGCUCUGUCUAUUGGUGUGAUAAUUAUCUACACCGUGGGUUGAGCUUAGACUUGCUCCCAACUGUCCAUCAGGACAAACCCUUUGACAAUUUGACCUCAAAUCAGGUAGGACUACCUGCUGAACUUAA